CGAAGGAACCUGUAUUCAUGAUGAUCAUCAUGAAUACCUAUAUUCAUGAUGGCUAUCAUGAAUAAUGUCAACAGCGUUGGCGGAGAUUUUGGAAUGAAAGUCAGUCGAGAGCGCAUGGCGGAGAACCGCUGCCGGAUUUUGGAUGCGGCCAGCCGACUGUUUCGCGCGAAGGGGUUCGAGGCGGUCAGUGUCGCCGAAGUGAUGAAGGCUACAGGCCUCACCCAUGGCGGCUUCUAUGGCCAUUUCGGUUCGAAGGACGACCUUGUGGUCCAGACUA
RNAcentral lists this unclassified non-coding RNA (277 nucleotides) under Hevea brasiliensis (rubber tree). Lineage: Eukaryota; Viridiplantae; Streptophyta; Magnoliopsida; Malpighiales; Euphorbiaceae. The record is from RNAcentral.